Molecule: non-coding RNA, 572 nt
Organism: Peromyscus maniculatus bairdii (prairie deer mouse)
Lineage: Eukaryota; Metazoa; Chordata; Mammalia; Rodentia; Cricetidae
Source: RefSeq, a predicted model, not a curated record
GCUUGAAGCCCUGGCUUCGACACUGGCGGAGCAGCACACCUGGAUUGCUGUUCUGCUGGCUUACCCUGCACACCUGGAUUGCUAUUCUGCUGGCUUACCCCUGUGGUCUCACACCAGCUCUAACCUGUUCACAGAGGUGUCAGCCUUCUCUUUCCCUUUGCUGAAUGUCUACUCUGUGUGGAGAUUGGCAGGCUGCUUCUGCUGGACCUGCAGUCUGCCCUGUUCCCUCAGUGACAGAACAUCAAUGAGCUUGAGACUCCGGUUCCCCAGGCGGUCCAGAUUACCAUCGGAUAACAGGAAAGUCACACACGUGGGCAGCAGAGAUCACUGGAAACACAAAUUCGUGUCCACAGCCCUUUAGGGAUAGACACCAGGGCUGCCAUCUGCACAUGUGGCCUGGUCCCAGCAUGAGCACUGAGCCUCUGCUUGGAAGGAAGAGCCCUGGGCUCACACAGCUCCAGAGGUACCGUAGUCAUCACUGGAAAUUCCCAGAAGGCUCUGACAAAUUUCUGAACGCUGUGGGGGAAGGUUUGGAACAGAAAAAAAUAGAAAAAGUGUCUAAAGUCCCUCAA